Molecule: ribosomal RNA, 120 nt
Filed under: uncultured bacterium
Lineage: Bacteria
Description: partial 16S ribosomal RNA
Rfam family: Bacterial small subunit ribosomal RNA
Source: RNAcentral
AUUGAACGCUGGCGGCGUGCCUAACACAUGCAAGUCGAGCGGCAGCGCGGGAGCAAUCCUGGCGGCGAGCGGCGGACGGGUGAGUAACGCUUGGGAAUCUGCCUAUCAGUGGGGGACAAC